ACACUGUACGAGUUUGAUCCUGGCUCAGAUUGAACGCUGGCGGCAGGCUUAACACAUGCAAGUCGAACGGAACCUUCGGGUUUAGUGGCGAACGGGUGAGUAAUACCUAGGAAUCUGCCUAUUAGUGGGGGAUAACGGCUCGAAAGGGUCGCUAAUACCGCAUACGUCCUACGGGAGAAAGAGGGGGAUCUUCGGACCUCUUGCUAAUAGAUGAGCCUAGGCCGGAUUAGCUAGUUGGUAGGGUAAAGGCUCACCAAGGCGACGAUCUGUAGCGGGUCUGAGAGGAUGAUCCGCCACACUGGAACUGAGACACGGUCCAGACUCCUACGGGAGGCAGCAGUGGGGAAUUUUUGGACAAUGGGCGCAAGCCUGAUCCAGCCAUGCCGCGUGAGUGAAGAAGGCCCUCGGGUUGUAAAGCUCUUUUGUCCGGAAAGAAAAGCGCCGGGUUAAUACCCUGGUGUCCUGACGGUACCGGAAGAAUAAGCACCGGCUAACUUCGUG
This 501-nucleotide ribosomal RNA is filed under the name uncultured bacterium. RNAcentral's name for it is "bacterial SSU rRNA". It matches the Rfam family "Bacterial small subunit ribosomal RNA", at positions 1 to 507 of the family's 1533-position model. The record is from RNAcentral.